This 430-nucleotide unclassified non-coding RNA is filed under the name soil metagenome. RNAcentral's name for it is "partial contains 5.8S ribosomal RNA, internal transcribed spacer 2, and large subunit ribosomal RNA". The stretch from base 1 to 120 matches the Rfam family "5.8S ribosomal RNA", at positions 35 to 154 of the family's 154-position model. The record is from RNAcentral.
GAUGAAGAACGUAGCGAAAUGCGAUACGUAAUGUGAAUUGCAGAAUUCAGUGAAUCAUCGAAUCUUUGAACGCAUAUUGCGCUCUCUGGUAUUCCGGAGAGCAUGCUUGUUUGAGUAUCAGUAAACACCUCAACUCCCUUUUCUUUUUUGAAAUUGGAGCUGGACUUGAGUGAUCCCAACGCUUUCUUCCAAGAAAGUGGCGGGUUGCUUGAAAUGCAGGUGCAGCUGAACUUUUCUCUAAGCUAUAAGCAUAUCUAUUUAGUCUGCCUAAAAAACAGAUUAUUACCUUUGCUGCAGCUAACAUAAAGGAGACUAGUUCUUGUGCUGACUGAUGCAGGAUUCACAGAGACAGCUUCGGCUGACUUUGUAAACUCGAUCUCAAAUCAAGUAAGACUACCCGCUGAACUUAAGCAUAUCAAUAAGCGGAGGA